GGGUUGUGAGGUUAAGUGACUAAGCGUACACGGUGGAUGCCUAGGCAGUCAGAGGCGAUGAAGGGCGUGCUAAUCUGCGAAAAGCGUCGGCAAGGUGAUAUGAACCGUUAUACCCGACGAUACCCGAAUGGGGAAACCCAGUGCAAUCCGUUGCACUAUCAUGUCAUGAAUACAUAGUGGCAUGAGGCGAACCGGGGGAACUGAAACAUCUCAGUACCCCGAGGAAAAGAAAUCAACCGAGAUUCCCCCAGUAGCGGCGAGCGAACGGGGAGGAGCCCAGAACCUGAAUCAGUUUGAGUCUUAGUGGAAGCGUCUGGAAAGUCGCACGACAGAGGGUGAUAGUCCCGUACACGAAGAGGCAUGAGCUGUGAGUUCGACGAGUAGGGCGGGACACGUGUUAUCCUGUCUGAAUAUGGGGGGACCAUCCUCCAAGGCUAAAUACUCCUGACUGACCGAUAGUGAACCAGUACCGUGAGGGAAAGGCGAAAAGAACCCCGGCGAGGGGAGUGAAAUAGAACCUGAAACCGUGUACGUACAAGCAGUGGGAGCAUCCUUCGGGGUGUGACUGCGUACCUUUUGUAUAAUGGGUCAGCGACUUAUAUUCUGUAGCAAGGUUAACCGCAUAGGGGAGCCGCAGGGAAACCGAGUCUUAACUGGGCGUUAAGUUGCAGGGUAUAGACCCGAAACCCGGUGAUCUAGCCAUGGGCAGGUUGAAGGUUGGGUAACACUAACUGGAGGACCGAACCGACUAAUGUUGAAAAAUUAGCGGAUGACUUGUGGCUGGGGGUGAAAGGCCAAUCAAACCGGGAGAUAGCUGGUUCUCCCCGAAAGCUAUUUAGGUAGCGCCUCGUGAAUUCAUCUUCGGGGGUAGAGCACUGUUUCGACUAGGGGGCCAUCCCGGCUUACCAACUCGAUGCAAACUGCGAAUACCGAAGAAUGUUAUCACGGGAGACACACGGCGGGUGCUAACGUCCGUCGUGAAGAGGGAAACAACCCAGACCGCCAGCUAAGGUCCCAAAGUCAUGGUUAAGUGGGAAACGAUGUGGGAAGGCCCAGACAGCCAGGAUGUUGGCUUAGAAGCAGCCAUCAUUUAAAGAAAGCGUAAUAGCUCACUGGUCGAGUCGGCCUGCGCGGAAGAUGUAACGGGGCUAAACCAUGCACCGAAGCUGCGGCAGCGACGCUUAGGCGUUGUUGGGUAGGGGAGCGUUCUGUAAGCCUGCGAAGGUGGCCUGUGAGGGCUGCUGGAGGUAUCAGAAGUGCGAAUGCUGACAUAAGUAACGAUAAUGCGGGUGAAAAACCCGCACGCCGGAAGACCAAGGGUUCCUGUCCAACGUUAAUCGGGGCAGGGUGAGUCGACCCCUAAGGCGAGGCCGAAAGGCGUAGUCGAUGGGAAACAGGUUAAUAUUCCUGUACUUGGUGUUACUGCGAAGGGGGGACGGAGAAGGCUGGGUUAUCCGGGCGACGGUUGUCCCGGUUUAAGCGUGUAGGUGGGUGUUUUUGGUAAAUCCGGAACACCGUUAACACUGAGGCGUGAUGACGAGUCACUACGGUGAUGAAGUAACCGAUGCCAAGCUUCCAGGAAAAGCCUC
Molecule: ribosomal RNA, 1589 nt
Filed under: Lonsdalea populi
Lineage: Bacteria; Pseudomonadati; Pseudomonadota; Gammaproteobacteria; Enterobacterales; Pectobacteriaceae
Description: bacterial LSU rRNA
Rfam family: Bacterial large subunit ribosomal RNA
Source: RNAcentral